AGAGGAAGAGAGAGAAAAAGCGGGCGUCGCGCGAGAAGAAGGAGGAGCCGGGUGCUGCGUCGUCAGCCGGUGGCGGCCGACUGCCGGGCGUGCGAUGCCGGCCGAAGGCGCUGCUGGCGUCGGCGAGCGCAGCAGCAGCGGCAAAAGCGGCAGCGUGAGGCGGCGGAAUCGCGCGACGUGUGGCAGCGGCUUCCGAGCGUCGUUCCGGCCGUUUCCGGUGGCCUUUCCGGCCGAUCUCGGUGGCGAUCAACUCCCCUUGGAGAGAGCUUCCUUUUGGCGGCAGCGGCGUCGGUUUUAGUGGCCGGAAGAGAGAGUUCCGGCGAAGUGGAGGCAGCUGGGUUUUUGGGCUUUUUCGGCGAGCUCCGGCGGAGGAUGGAUGAUCGGAGGACGUAUCCCGACUCUCCUCAGCUCAAGCUUCGCGAUGGCACUGGUUUCGUGGCGAUCGGGCUUCGUUGGCAAAUCGACGGUCGAGAUCAUCCGCAAAUCUCUCCGGAUGAUCGGGUGUCAGAUCGAAAAAUCAGAAGCGCGGAUCGUCAUCAGCGCGUCGUUGUGAGUC
Molecule: long non-coding RNA, 556 nt
Filed under: Ricinus communis (castor bean)
Lineage: Eukaryota; Viridiplantae; Streptophyta; Magnoliopsida; Malpighiales; Euphorbiaceae
Description: long non-coding RNA (RCOM_LNC002989)
Source: RNAcentral